This 206-nucleotide ribosomal RNA is filed under the name uncultured bacterium. RNAcentral describes it as "partial 16S ribosomal RNA". It matches the Rfam family "Bacterial small subunit ribosomal RNA", at positions 568 to 774 of the family's 1533-position model. The record is from RNAcentral.
CGCGUAGGCGGGAUGGCAAGUCGGUCGUGAAAUCCCUCGGCUCAACCGAGGAACGUCGAUCGAUACUGCCGUUCUUGAGGGUUGCAGAGGAGACUGGAAUUCCCGGUGUAGCGGUGAAAUGUGUAGAGAUCGGGAGGAACACCGGUGGCGAAGGCGGGUCUCUGGGCAAUUCCUGACGCUGAGGCGCGAAAGCGUGGGAGCAAACG